RNAcentral lists this ribosomal RNA (475 nucleotides) under uncultured bacterium. Its description in RNAcentral is "bacterial SSU rRNA". It matches the Rfam family "Bacterial small subunit ribosomal RNA", at positions 28 to 416 of the family's 1533-position model. The record is from RNAcentral.
GAUGAACGCUGGCGGCGUGCCUAAUACAUGCAAGUCGAACGAACUCUUAAUCUAUUUUAUAUAGAGCGCACGCCUGAUGAGAGCGGACAUAUAAUUUUUGCGAAGCAUUUAGUUGCUGAGUCAAAAAUUCAUAUGUCUGCUAGUCAUCAGGCCUUAAGCAAGAGUUAGUGGCGGGCGGGUGAGUAACACGUUAGUACCUGCCCUUUAGUGGGGAANAACCCGGCGAAAGUCGGGCUAAUACCGCAUGUGAUCGUUUACGAUUAAAGCCUUCGGGCGCUAAAGGAGGGGCUUGCGUUAGAUUAGCUAGUUGGUAGGGUAAUGGCCUACCAAGGCGACGAUCUAUAGCUGGUUCGAGAGGAUGACCAGCCACACUGGGACUGAGAUACGGCCCAGACUCCUACGGGAGGCAGCAGUAAGGAAUCUUCCGCAAUGGACGAAAGUCUGACGGAGCAACGCCGCGUGCAGGAUGACGGCC